Molecule: long non-coding RNA, 2909 nt
Organism: Callithrix jacchus (white-tufted-ear marmoset)
Lineage: Eukaryota; Metazoa; Chordata; Mammalia; Primates; Cebidae
Source: RefSeq, a predicted model, not a curated record
GCUUGGAAUAAAAUGAAGCCAAGCCCCAGCCCCUCAGUUAGUGAUGUUCUUAUUCAAGUGGUUUUGGUUUGGCUUCCUCAGACACUAUUCCAUGUUGCCUAAUAGUUAAAAAGCUCCAAUUUUAUAGUCAGUGCAUCUUUCUGUGGGUCCCCAGAGAAGGAAAGACAGUGAGAAGUGAAGGAGCAGCUCCAUGGAAGAGCACAGACGCUCUAGCAGGAACUUCGCAGCUACUCUCUUCAACAUGACAUCGAACUUCACUUCCCCCUUGGAAGCUAGAUUCGGCCAUGUGAUUAGCUGCAGCUAAUGUUUGUGAGUGCAAGCCUUACAAAUUGAUGUGCAGAUUGCUACAUCCCCUCCCCACUGCCAAAUGAUGGUGAAAGCAUUUGUCAAGAUGAUGCCUCUUGAGUCUCCAUAUCUUUCUUCUGACUUGCUCUGGACAUAUAGUAUAAUUGAGCAAACUAGACCAUUUUGAGAGUAAAAGGGACAACAGGCACAAUUUGAAAAUGUAUGGUUAUCCUAGGGAAACGUUAUGUUAAGCCACUGAGACCUGGGGGGUGUUUUUUUCUGCAGCAUAACCCAGUCUAUCCUGAUUGAUAUAUCAAUGCAUGUAUAAAAAUCCUCAAGAACCCAUUCGUAGAAGUGCAACAAAUGACUCAUGUUGCACUCUAACUGUGUGAGCUUGAUAAGAAAAUGGACUCUACCAUCUAGGCCUAAGGUGAGUCAGCUACAUUGACGCUGACAAGUGAGUAACCUGCUGGGAUCCAGAGCUCUUGGCUUCCAACUGAAAGCUUUUCUUCAGAUCUUUCCAAGGAAAUGUUACCGAGGAGCUACAUUUAGGACAAAAGCUGCUGACGUGAGAAAAGGGUUAGUAUCGCCCAGAAAGACUAGCCUCAGUCUUGUGUGUGUGACCCUAUCUGCUUAAGGGUAUGGCAUCAAGUGUUCACCGUGGAGCAGCUCGAGGCAACCUACAGCGUUUGAUUUGACCAGCAGAGUACUGUAGACCAAACAUGAGCUUGCAUGCCUUUCGAUUGAGCAAGCACUCUCAGGUUGGCCAUUGCCCUCUGUUUCUUCCUGUCAUUUGCUCCUGCUCUUUUCCACUUCCUCACUUCAGUUACAUUACCCGCCUGGCUUCUGAAGGCGUUUGAGUUUGGAACUCUGCAGAGAAGCAUUGCGCCUGAAAAGGAAAGCACAGCAGCCUGUGUGGAUGGAAACAGGACACUUCACCGCUGCAGUGUUCCUUCCGUAAGUCCAUAACCCCAGUCUAUUCGUGAGGAUAAUAAUCAGACAAGUCUAGAUUAGGAGACAUCCUACAGGAUAACUGGAUAGUAUUCCUAAAGCCUAUCAAGGUCAUGAAAAGCCAGGAAAGACCGAAGACUGUCAGAGGCUAGAAGCAAAUGGAGAGACAUGACAACGAAAUGCAUGGUAGUGUCCUGGGUCAGACACUGGAAUAGUAACAGGCCGUCAACAGGAACACUGGUGAAGUCUGAAGGAUGUCUGGAUUCAGUUAACAGUUAUGUACCAACAAUGGGCUCUCCGUUCUGACAAAGGUACCAUGGUAAUGUAAGAUGUUAACAAUACAAGGAACUGGGUGAGGGGUAUACAGGAACUCUCUGUUGCUUACAUGUGCAACUUUUCUGGAAAUCUAAAAUUAUUCCAAAAUAAAAAUUGUUUAAAUCCUUGUUUGUAUAGUGAUGAAAAAAGGAAUAAGCCCAUGGAGAGCCCAUUUCUUCCCUUCUCACCACAUUCCAGAUACUUGAGAUGCAGUCAUUCUUUGCUUACAUGUCUCCAGACCUGCAUGGGACUCCUCUAGGUCUCCAUCUUCCAAAUGGAGACCAUGCCACCAUUAUAGUCCACCUAGGCCCUUGUGGUCACCAAAAGGAGGCUGUUUACAAGCUCAUGUGGACAGGGCUUGGAUAGGCAAGCUAGUGUGCCUAUGUGCAGGAAGCUCCUUGUGGGGUCGGAUGAAGCCAGGGAAUGGGAAAAGAAGGCAGGUGAGCUACCAAUGGGGAUCCCUAGCUGUCCCAGGUCAUCACAUUCUGGGGAGAACUCAGAGAAGUCCAAGAAGGCUGCAGCUGAUCCUAGCCUCUCAUAUCUUUACACAGACAUAUUUACGAAAGUAGGAGACAGAACAUAUUAAUUCAUCGGUCUUUUGGCUUGAUGUAAAAGUUUUAGGUAUCCAGACAUAUGGUGCGUGGGCCUCCACUGGUAUCUGAGUGAGAAGACACAUGGGCCAGAUGCUGUGAAUCUCUCUUCACACCUGCUAGAAGCGGUGCUCAGGGCUGUUGCCCUUCACCUUGCUUUGCAAUGUGUAUUUCUUAGUAGAAGUUGCAGAAGCCCAAUCAAACAAGCAGAACAUGGCACAGCAGCCUCAGGACAGAAUUCACCAUCCCCCUACCAGACACCGCAUCCCAGAGCAGGAGAUGUCACCCAAGUAGGGAUAAAGGAUAUCGUAGCUUUCUUUACAAAAGAUCCACAUGUCAAAAUACAUGUGGUUGGCUUUAAACACAACGAGAAAGACACAAAAGGAUCACAGUUGAAGUCUUAUGGGAAAAAUGACCAGAAUCAAUGCUGAAAUUUUAGCAAGGAGCAGGCAUAACCUUUGUUCUACUAGAACUGGGGAAGUAUGUAUAUGUGUGUGUUGAAGAGAUGAGGACCAGUCCAUUCCGAGGUCAGAUCUGCCCUGCAAGCCAGGCUGCUGUGCCCCACAUUUCAGAAUAAGGCAUCAGGCCCCACCCAGGGAACAGCAUCUGGGGUCACUAGUGUGGCCUUCACCACAACAGACACCCUUUAAACAAACAUAAGAUAUAAAGUUACAGAAAGCAUAUAUUUAUAAACAAUAAGUAUGUAAACAUAAUAAAAUUUAAAUAAAUAUGCAUAAAUAGAAUACGUAUUUUAUAAAAAGGAAGCCU